Molecule: long non-coding RNA, 157 nt
Organism: Phyllostomus discolor (pale spear-nosed bat)
Lineage: Eukaryota; Metazoa; Chordata; Mammalia; Chiroptera; Phyllostomidae
Exons: 5
Source: RefSeq, a predicted model, not a curated record
UUAAUAAAUGCUUGGCUCGAGUAGUAGGUAGAUGGUUUAAAAACUACAUAUUGAACCUCAGCCCUUUUCUUACCUUCCAGUGUAAGAACACACAGAGCUGAAGCAAUAAAGGAUUAGCCCAUGCUAGCACAAAUGUGCUGUCAUUUUUAUGUUUAAA